UAGGGAAUCUUCGGCAAUGGGGGCAACCCUGACCGAGCAACGCCGCGUGAGUGAAGAAGGUUUUCGGAUCGUAAAGCUCUGUUGUAAGAGAAGAACGUGUGUGAGAGUGGAAAGUUCACACAGUGACGGUAACUUACCAGAAAGGGACGGCUAACUACGUGCCAGCAGCCGCGGUAAUACGUAGGUCCCGAGCGUUGUCCGGAUUUAUUGGGCGUAAAGCGAGCGCAGGCGGUUUAAUAAGUCUGAAGUUAAAGGCAGUGGCUUAACCAUUGUUCGCUUUGGAAACUGGUAAACUUGAGUGCAGAAGGGGAGAGUGGAAUUCCAUGUGUAGCGGUGAAAUGCGUAGAUAUAUGGAGGAACACCGGUGGCGAAAGCGGCUCUCUGGUCUGUAACUGACGCUGAGGCUCGAAAGCGUGGGGAGCAAACAGG
Molecule: ribosomal RNA, 429 nt
Filed under: bacterium
Lineage: Bacteria
Description: partial 16S ribosomal RNA
Rfam family: Bacterial small subunit ribosomal RNA
Source: RNAcentral